Molecule: ribosomal RNA, 461 nt
Filed under: uncultured bacterium
Lineage: Bacteria
Description: partial 16S ribosomal RNA
Rfam family: Bacterial small subunit ribosomal RNA
Source: RNAcentral
CCUACGGGCGGCAGCAGUGAGGAAUAUUGGUCAAUGGGCGAGAGCCUGAACCAGCCAAGUCGCGUGAAGGAUGACGGCCCUACGGGUUGUAAACUUCUUUUGUGCGGGCGCAAUUGAGUCCACGUGUGGUCUUAGCGAGAGUACCUGCAGAAAAAGCAUCGGCUAACUCGGUGCCAGCAGCCGGGGAAAUACGGAGGAUUCAAGCGUUACCCGGAUUUAUUGGGUGUAAAGGGUGCGUAGGCGGUCGGAUAAGUUGGUGGUGAAUUCCCGCGGUUAAACUGCGGAAUUGCCGCUGAAACGGGACGACUUGAGAGGAGUUGCGGUAGGCGGAAUGUAUGGUGUAGCGGUGAAAUGCUGAGAUAUCAGACAGAACACCGAUUGCGAAGGCAGCUUACCGAGCUACUACUGACGUUGAGGAACGAAAGCGUGGGGAGCGAACAGGAUUAGAUACCCUUGUAGUC